This 253-nucleotide ribosomal RNA is filed under the name uncultured bacterium. Its description in RNAcentral is "partial 16S ribosomal RNA". It matches the Rfam family "Bacterial small subunit ribosomal RNA", at positions 524 to 776 of the family's 1533-position model. The record is from RNAcentral.
UACAGAGGGUGCGAGCGUUAAUCGGAAUUACUGGGCGUAAAGCGCACGUAGGUGGCGACGUAAGUCGGGUGUGAAAGCCCCGGGCUCAACCUGGGAAUUGCAUUCGAGACUGCAUUGCUGGAGUACGGAAGAGGAAGGCGGAAUUCCCGGUGUAGCGGUGAAAUGCGUAGAUAUUGGGAAGAACACCAGUGGCGAAGGCGGCUCACUGGCCCGUAACUGACGCUGAGGUGCGAAAGCGUGGGGAGCAAACAGG